UUCCGGUUGAUCCUGCCGGAGGUCACUGCUAUUGGGGUUCGGCUAAGCCAUGCGAGCGGAGGGCGCGGUCGAGAGAUCGUGGCCCCGCACACGGCUCAGUAACACGUAGUCAACCUACCCUUGGGACGGGGACAACCUCGGGAAACUGAGGCUAAUUCCCGAUAGGCGAGGGACGCUGGGAUGCCUCCUCGCCCAAAGCUCCGGCGCCCGAGGAUGGGACUGCGGCCUAUCAGGCUGUUGGUGGUGUAACGGACCACCAAACCUACGACGGGUACGGGCGAUGGGAGUCGGAGCCCGGAGAUGGGGACUGAGACAAGGCCCCAGGCCCUACGGGGCGCAGCAGGCGCGAAAACUCCGCAAUGCGCGCAAGCGUGACGGGGGGAUCCCAAGUGCCGUUGGUCUUUUGAUCGACGGCUUUUCGGAAGUCUAAGAAUCUUCCGGAAUAAGGGCUGGGUAAGACUGGUGCCAGCCGCCGCGGUAACACCAGCAGCCCAAGUGGUGACCACGAUUAUUGGGCCUAAAGCGCUCGUAGCCGGGUCAGCAAGUCCCUUGUGAAAUCGGGCCGCCUAACGGUUCGGCGUGCAAGGGGUACUGUUGGUCUUGAGGCCGGGAGAGGUCGGAGGUACUCCUGGGGUAGCGGUGAAAUGCUCUAAUCCUGGGGGGACCACCAGUGGCGAAGGCGUCCGACCAGAACGGACCUGACGGUGAGGGGCGAAGGCUAGGGGAGCGAACGGGAUUAGAUACCCCGGUAGUCCUAGCUGUAAAGCAUGCGGGCCAGGUGUCUAGUGCUCCUCGAGGGCACUAGGUGCCGGAGGGAAGCCGUUAAGCCCGCCGCCUGGGAAGUACGGCCGCAAGGCUGAAACUUAAAGGAAUUGGCGGGGGAGC
RNAcentral lists this ribosomal RNA (885 nucleotides) under uncultured archaeon. Its description in RNAcentral is "bacterial SSU rRNA". It matches the Rfam family "Archaeal small subunit ribosomal RNA", at positions 1 to 877 of the family's 1478-position model. The record is from RNAcentral.